UACGAAGGGUGCAAACGUUGCUCGGAAUCAUUGGGCGUAAAGCGCACGUAGGCGGCCUCAUAAGUCGGAUGUGAAAUCCCUCGGCUCAACCGAGGAAGUGCAUCCGAAACUGCGAGGCUCGAGUAUGGAAGAGGGUCGCAGAAUUCCCGGUGUAGAGGUGAAAUUCGUAGAUAUCGGGAGGAAUACCGGUGGCGAAGGCGGCGACCUGGGCCAAUACUGACGCUCAUGUGCGAAAGCGUGGGGAGCAAACAGG
This 253-nucleotide ribosomal RNA is filed under the name uncultured bacterium. Its description in RNAcentral is "partial 16S ribosomal RNA". It matches the Rfam family "Bacterial small subunit ribosomal RNA", at positions 524 to 776 of the family's 1533-position model. The record is from RNAcentral.